AUGGACUGCGCGCCGCGUCUGCAGGACUCUGGGCUCGCCCGGACAGCUCGCGCCCCGACGUGGGUGAAACUUCGCCCAAGCGUGGAUUCUAGGGAGAACCUGUUGAAGCCAGGAGUGGAGCGGAAAAGGGAUAGCGACCGACAGGGGCGGGUGGGCCGUCGGGCCACCGAGCAGAAGGAGCCAGCGAGCGGGGUUGAAGUGGUCGAUCCGGCGGACUUCCGCGAGGACAAACCCAGGUGGCCCAGGGCUGCACCGCGGCGGCCUCGGUGCCAUGGAGAGCGGUAUUCGCUGACUGCGCACUAAGACGCGUCCCAGUAGGUCAAGUACCUGAGCUGCUGCGGCGCGGGGAUCGUGCAAGAGGUCUUUCUGCCCCCCAGGCUUCUCUGGAGGAGCAGCGCCACCGGGGACCGGUCUGGGCUGCCGCGCUGGAACCCUGCACGAGAUGAGCCUGCUGUCGGGGCUGGUGUUCGCCGCUGGUCUCUGCGCCAUACUGGCGGCUAUGCUGGCGCUCAGGUACCUGGACCCGGUCGUCGCGGGCGGCGGCGCCUGUCCCGAGGGCUGCCCCGAGGGCAAGGCCUUAGCGCGCGCCGCCGGCUUCCUGGCAGCCAACCUGGACGCCAGUAUGGACCCAUGCCAGCACUUCUACUCUUUCGCCUGCAGCGGCUGACUGAGGCACCGCGCCAUUCCCAACGAAAAGCUCACCUAUGGCACCAUCACGGCCAUCCGCGAGCAGAAAGAGGAGCGCCUGCGGCGCCUGCUGGCACGGCCCAGGGGUAGGCCCCGCGGCGCGGCCCAGCGCAAGGUGCGCGCCUUUUUCCAUUGGUGCCUCGGCAUGCGCGAGAUCGAGCUACUGAGUCCUCGGCCCAUGCUAGAGGUCGUGGAGGACUGCGGGGGCUGGGACCUGGGCGGCGCGGCGGAGCAUCCGGGGGUCGUGACGCCCUGGGACCGCAACCUGCUGCUGUACAAGGGGCAGAGCGUGUACAGCGCCGCAGCGCUCUUCUCCCUCUGGGUCAGCCUAGGUUACAGGAACUCCUGGCGCUACAUCAUCCGCAUUGACCAGGAUGGGCUCAACCUGCCAGAGAGGACCCUGUACCUCGCUCAGGAUAAGGCGAGUGAGAAGGUGCUGGGACAUGGGAUGGGGAGGCAGAGAAGGCCUGGGGCCCCAGGAGGGGUGGGCCCAGGCUAGGCCUGUCCGUGUCCCUGGAGGAGCCCCUUCCCGUGGUGCAGAUACUGGCAGCCUACAGUGUGUUCAUGGAGCGAGUGCUCAGCCUCCUGGGUGCUGACGCUGUAGAGCAGAAGGCCAAGGAGACCCUGUGGCUGUAGUGGGGACAGCUGAUGACAGGGGACCAUGGGACAAGACUGGCUCAGCCCUGAUCUCUACCCCCACCCAGAUCACUCUGUCAGAGUAUGAUCAUUUCCAGCCAGAUAUCAGCUCCAUGUACAAAAAGGUGACGCUGGGGCAGCUGCAGAAGAUCACCUCCCCAUAUGGCCCAGGCCCCUCCCCUGCCCCCUGGACUUGCCUGCUGGGUGUGCCAUGAAUUUCCGCCUCCUCUUCUGUCCAGUAGUCACAUUAAAGGAGGCAGCACUCAAAAAGGACCCAGAGCCCGAAGAUCCGAUCCUAGCUCUCGCCUCUGCUUUCCGAGGCCCUGGGCAGGGCUGGGAGCUUCCUGAGCUGCAGUUUCCUCACCUAGGGAUGGUUGGAAAGAGAAAGUGUGGCUACGGCUCUGCUGUUCCUGCACCACCCUUCGGAGAGCCUCGUGGUGUCUAUCCACCAUGGGGAGGAACCGAGGCCUUUGCAGGCCAGUUCUGAGUCAGACAGUCACCCUCAAGGUCAGACGCUAUCUCCCCAUGGCAAGUCAGGAAAUGAUUCAAGCCCUGACCCAUCACAUCAGGGGCUGGCAUCAGUAGCAAGAGUGUCUUACUGUGUCAUUGAGCUCAGCACACUCCAAUUCCAGCCUCCACAUACUUGGGAUGACCUCCUGCCCCUUCUUUGAGGGACUAUCUGGGUGCUGGGUCCAGUCACGGGCUGAGGAGUACAGGCCGGGGUGGUGCCCUUGGUGGCCCAUAUGAAUGUCUUUCUGGACACCCCACUGGCUUCAUCUGGCCCCUAGCAUCCUGCACAACUACCUUCUGUGGGGCGUGGUGGUGGUCCUGAGUGAACACCUGUUCGUGUCAUUCCAUGAGGCAUUGCACAAGCUGGCACGGGAGAUAGAGGACAGUAACAAGCCACAGGAACUGGCCCGGGUCAGCCUGAGUCAGGCCAACCACCACUUUGGCAUGGCACUUCAUGCCCUCUUUGUACAUGAACACUUCUCAGCCCGCCUCAGCCAAGGUGGGCUGCUCUGGUUUAGGGUGGGGAGGCUGGUGCUGAACUGAGGGUGGAGCCCUCCCGAGGCCAUGGUCCUAGCGUGGGGAGCCCCACACAUCCCACUGCAGGCAGGGGUACCAGGCCCCGCUUAGGCCUCAGCCCAUUCUGAGGCUCCAGGCUGCUCCUCCGCAGGACUCCUCCUCCUGGUCUGUUAGUGGCAGGUGGCCUUCCCCGCCAGGCCCCUGCCCACCUUCUCAGCCGUGCUCAGGAGGCAUCUCCUUAGGGAUGCCCAUGGUGGUUGCUGCAGCUGUUGCCUCUUCUAGCCUGUGAGCUUAUUGUUGGAGGGGAAGGGUCUAGAUUCCUACCUCCAACGUGUCUUCUUGGCGCCUAGCACUGAGCUCUGGGCUUAGCAAGUGGUACUUAAAGACUCCUUCGUGCCAGGAAUGAUGGACUAGAGUGAAAGGCUGCUGGGUUGACCCUUGUUCCCCGACCCCUGACCCUGCAGGUGUGGCAGCUGGUGGAAGACAUCAAGUACCUCCAGGGCCAGCGCCUGGAGGAGCUGGACUGCGUGGAGACCAGAACAGCUGCUGGGGCCGUGGCGAGGGGCCCCCAGUGCCACCGGUUGGUCCCAUGAACAUUGACUGAGCACCUCCUGUGUGCCAGUGAAAGAGAAUACAAGGGACGAAGAGGCCUUCGUGGAGUUGACCGGGCCUGCCUCCCCCACCGUGAAGCCCACUCCCGGGCUGGCCUAGGACUCCUUUCCUUGGUGGGCGGGGGGGGGCAGGGACGCUGUGUCCUGAGGCCCCAGGCCACCUUCACCUGCCCUCUGGCCCGCAGCUUCAGUACAUGGUGGCGAUGGUCGGCUACUCAGACUUCCUGCUCAAACUGGGUCUGUGGACAAGGAGUAUGAGAUGGGACUGUGUCCCUGCCUGCCCAGCCUGACCACAGCCCCUCUGCUAAUGGCACCUGGGAGGGCCUGGAUGGCCAGGUUGUGGCGCUGUCUGCAGCCUUGCCCUGGUCUGUGGCUGAGUGCUGCCCGUGCCCCGCAUAGUUUAAGGUCCACGAGAAGACCUACUACAAGAACAUCUUGAACAGCAUCCGCUUCAGCAUCCAGCUUUCAGUCAAGAAGAUUGGGCAGGAGGUGAACAAGUCCACAUGGGUGCCUGGCCCAGAGCUGGGGGGUCAGAGGAGGGUCAUGAGGUAGUAGCCGGGAGGGUGGUGGCCUAGCUCAGCGGUGGCACAGAAAGUAUUUUGUCAGGAGAUGGGUGUGGCUGGGCUGCCAAGAAUGUCCUGCAGUCCAGGCUCUGUGACCUUCCUACAGAGGUGGCUGUUCCCCCCACAGUGCUCAUUGCCUUCUAUCUACCCAACAAGAACCAGAUGGGUACAGGGUGUGUCUCUACACCUAUUGGGUCAAAAUGUGGGCAGGUCUCCCACUGACUACACCCUCCCUGUAGUGUAACCACAGAAUGUCCUGCAGUCCAGGCUCUAUGACCUGACUUCAGUGACCAAGACAUAACAUACCCGCAUGCCUGGUGGCAUCCCGGGUGGCAAGCUUCUAUAACGAGGAACUUCAGCUGCUUCUUGGUGUUGGGGUCCAGUGUAUGCCCUGGUAGCAAAGGAGGAAGCUCUGGUCGGAUGGAGUCAGUAGGCCCUGGGGCCCCCUUAGCUCAGAGGGUACAAUUGCAAGUCCCACAUAGUAAAUCCCACACACUGUAGACAUCUGGGGACCCCUUGGGAGGAGGGCAAAGGCCAGUUACACAGAUGCUAACCCAGUGGGGAGGCCUAUUCCUAGAACCAGUGGGACCAGGGCAUCAUCAGAUGCAACGUCAGCACCCAGGCCAGAAGGGCACAGCUGGGAUCCCCCUUGAGUCCUCUCGAGAGGCUGCAGGGAGCAUCCUCCUCUUCCCCGAUCAUGAGGCUUCCUGUGCCCAUCACUGAACUGUGCAGGGGCUCACAGGCACUCAACGGGCAGGCGGCCUCGGAUCUGGUGGAGACUGAACUUGUGGUGCCAUCUGGGGUCUGAAUCUUGCAGGGAGUGGGACGCCCCUGCUCACAAGGAGUUGCUCAGGCCUGCCUAGGCUGCAAGCACCUCAAGACUAACCUGGACCUUGGGGUUUCGUUAAAGGGACAUCAGGCCCUCCUGAGUGCUUACUGUUUGCUGGGCUCACCACAUGCCUCAGCACAGCCCUGGGCAGUGAGCGCCCCAAGAGCUCAUGUUUCAUAUCAAGCUGCAUGCUGGUGCCUUCACCUUUCAUGCAGGCACCCACCCCAUGUGGUUCCUGGGUAUCCCGGAGUAAGGGACUCAGGCCCUCAGGCCAGGGGUUGACACAGUACGCCCUCCAGAUGGCAAGCUUUCAGCAAAUUGCGGAGUAUUAGAGUAUUAGAGUUUUAGAGUUUUAGAAUAUUAGAGUUUAGUGUGUCUGCUUAAGUGGACUGACGGAUUAUAUGAUCUAGUUUUAACCGACCUCAUCCUCCAAAAGGGCCAAGAGGCUCACACAAGAUUCCUAUAAAGAAUCUGCAGCUAACACCAGAAAUCUAGAGCAGAUGAACCACAGCAGAAGGGAGAGCUGAGAAUUCCUUAUUACUCCUGGCAGAGCGCAUGUCACCAGGGGUACAGACCUGACCAGACGUUAGCUCCUAAUAAUGAAAAAUCAGCAAACAUAAAGUAUUAAGAAAAAAUCAGCAAACAAAACUCUGAAUUUCCUGUACUCUGUGAUUACUGCUGAAGUUUGCCCUGGGCCUUUGUUC
Molecule: RNA transcript, 5056 nt
Organism: Cercocebus atys (sooty mangabey)
Lineage: Eukaryota; Metazoa; Chordata; Mammalia; Primates; Cercopithecidae
Gene name: endothelin-converting enzyme-like 1
Exons: 4
Source: RefSeq, a predicted model, not a curated record